AGUAGGAUUCUCAGGAAGGAGGAACUGCAGGAACAAUUCAGAAGGACUGAAAGCUGUGCCAAACGGGAGAGACAAUUGCUGCUGUAAAGGAUCUGCUGUGAGGUCAGUCUGGGUCUGCUGUUAGAGCCUGCAGUCAGAGUCUGCAAGGGAAGUCUACAGUGGGAGUUUGCUGUAGUCAGUCAGGAUGGCUGAGCUGUGAAGAAGAAUAAUCCAGGACCCUUUUCACACUGAUAAACAAGAGUGUGUGUCUCAGCUUAUUUCUAUCUCAAACAUGGGGUCUGCUGCAACAAUUGCACAUCGAGGCUUCUAUCUAAUCCUGCUCUUCCACUUUACUCUGUAAUUUCAAGUUGUAGAGGGCAAUGCACAUCUGCACUGUGACUUGGCCCAAAUCAAACAGCAGAAGAAUCCAGAGAUGUACUAGGAUCUGCAGAAAUGCAAGCAGUAAUGGGUAUUCAUCUUUGAAAGGAAUGUCAACCCCUGCACUGAAGAUCAGAAGAACGAGUUUGGGAGUGGGGGAGUAUGGAUGCCAUGGGACAGAGAGAAAGGCAAGCAUUUCUCACAGCAGCUUGUGACAAUUUUUAGGGACUUGUAAGGAUGUGAUAACUUGUUAAGUAUAAACAAUCUGCAGGUGGUGUUUUUCUACUUCGUCUUUCUGUACUUCUCAAGGACAGUGUGUGAGGAAGAUGUUUUUGUUAGUUAGCCAAUCAAAUAGAAUUUAUAGUAUCACUCUAUAAAAAUCGCGCAUUUCUCUUGAAUAAAGCCUUCUUUGCUCUUUCUACAAUACUGCCUCCCACCUGUUCCUGUGUCAUUCUUGGCGCAUGAGUGACAUCUGGUGACUCGACCUGUGUACUGCACCGGUCGGCCUUUGCAGAGAGCGGCAGUCGCCCGGGACCCCCGCCGGACUCCGCCGGGGCACGCGGUGCUCGCGCGGCUUGGCUGCGUUCGGACACCCUUUGUUUCCCCGGAGAGGAACCUGCCAGCAGAUGAGAUGGAGCUGUGUGGAAACCAAUGAAACUUUAAAUUGCCACCAUAAUUGCUUCUAUUGUCAGUUUGUUAAUGUUUGUAAUUUGUUUGGUUUUUUGUGACUUGUUGGGAGACCAAAUAUUAGUCAAAGCAUUUUAUGUAUUGUUAAGCUUGAUUUUUUUUGUCAAGCUUGUGUUAUCUUUUUACAGAAAAAAAAUGUUGUGGCUGAAGUUCUCAUGGAUGUAUUGUUUGUCUCAAGCAAUUUUAUCCUGGGAGUGAAAUGGUGGUUUUGGGGGAUUUGCUUAAGUUAGGAAUAUGAAUUAAGCAUUUAAAUUUUAGCUUGUAGAAUUAUGUGUUGAAUUUUAACCUUUUACUUAAGAAACCUCUGUCAUGGUACAAAGGGCAUAGGAAAAUGCAAAUUUCUGAAGCUUCUUGCGAUAAAGUACAAGACCAGGAGUGUAGCAGUCUCAAGGCCUGCAAGGCCUCCUUGGAGGUCAGAAGCCUGAGCUAGGAAAUGCCAAGUCAGCAUGACUGAACCUUAGAAGCCCCUCUCUUCUGCCUUUCGGACCCUGCUUAUCUCUCUGUAAGCCUACAGGUCACUUUCCCCUGACCCUUACUAUUGGACAGUUUCCAAAACCCCUGUAGGGCAUAAAAACCCCUGAUUCUGCCUGGUUCGGCAGAAGAGCUGUCACUGAGAACCUUAGCGGAACACCCGAAUAAAGAAUCCUGUGGAACCUCACACGGCCUUCUCCUCUCUCUCCCUGUGUCUGCUGCUGCGGCACCUAGCAAGCUGAAAUCACUGAGCUGAUAAUCACUAAGAGCUGAAAAUCACUAUAGCUUGCUUAGGCUGCUGUGCUGAGCCUCCACUGAGCUAUCCUGGCUCCAGCACCCUGCUGGGCAUCAGCCCGGCGGGAAACUGCCGUGAUACAGGAGAAGACCAGGGAAUGCAAGAAACCUAGAUAAAGGAACUCCUCUAUCUCCAAGCUGAUCAAAACCGACAGACAUACUCAGAUAAGCACCAAGGGACCACAGUGCACGUGCAAAGGAGAAAAGUUCAAAAGUUCAGUCAUGAGGAAGAACACAACCUUCGGCCUCAGAGACCACCAAAGACCCCCCAUGCGACCACCACAGCAAACAAUGCAUGCUCAGAAGGGCGUGGAUCUAAUUACCAUGUGAGGCAAGGACAGGCGGGGCCAGGGGUUGAAUAUGCAUUAAAGGAUUUUGUAAUGUAAUGCAUAUGGAACAUCUUUGUGAAUAAAGAUAUGGCCCAGACCGGAGCUCGGUGAACAAGCUUUCACAAGAGCUAUCUCACUUGUGCCGGGCACUGACAUACAUACCCACUUCAUAACUACAUUAGGUUGUGGAGUCUAUUUAUUCCACAUAUCGCUUCAGGCGUUGGUACAAGAAUUUAUACGUAUAUGAAAUCAUACAAAUAUGUAUCGACCUUCCCAGUUCUGCCUUGGAAGUCUCUAAAAUUAUUAUAAUUUGGCCAAAUUUUUCAGAAUUAAUAAUUAGUGAACUAAAGAAUCCUAACAGAACACAAGAAAAUGUUGCAUGAAAAAUGAUUGAGCCCCCCUUCCUAAACCAGGUGGGACAGCCAUGAAUUGCAAAUAGAAUAUGCAUAAAUCACAAAACAGCCUUCUACCAACUCUCCAACCAACCAAAUAUUCCCACCUGAACGUCUCUGAUGUGCUGUUGAAUUUCCUGUCAUAUGACCUGGGAAAAUAUUUUAACUUUAUGUCGCUUCUUUUAAUUAUGUUAAUUAGUGUGGUGACCCUAGCACAUUCUGCACCAAACAUGCUCCUUAGUCAUGGGUGCAAAAUGUUAUGAAGGCAAUUUGCCCACUAAAAUUCAAAAGAAACAAGUUUCUUGGGGUAAUACAACUAAAUUUGAAAGGGAAUUAUUUUAAUUUUAAUCCCACCAAUAAUAAAGCCACAGUUUCUGUUUUGUGUCAAUGUCGAAUGCAGGGCACCCCUGACGCAGGGAAUUAUUGGCAUCUGACUCCAUUGAUUCAGAAGGCUGAAUAAUUGCUUUAUUAAAACUAUAUUAUAUUACAUUAUACUAUAUUAUAAUUAUACUAAAGAGAUACUAUACUAAACAAUACUAAAGAAUACUAAAAAGAUAGUAAAGAAAAACUUGUGACUGUCUGAGACAGCCAAGACACAGCUUUUGCCCAAUUGGCUAAGGAAACAAAACAAUCCUCAGCAGAAUCCAAUUGACAAAUCACUUCAGGUAAACAAUCUUCUUAACACAUUCCACAUGUGCAAAAAUAACAGGAGCAGCAAUUAGAAAUAAAAAUUGUUUUCUCUUCUUCUCUCUGUGCUUCUCCAGGAAAAAUCUUGAGAGAGAAAAUUAUGUCUCUCUCUGUUCAAAGAAUGUGAAUACCACAUGUCAAGACUAAAUUACAGCAGUGCUAUAAUCUAGACCCUGGAAAAUAGAACAUAGCCCUAAUGUAAAGAUGUGUUUGCAUGAGAGCCUUUUGUAUUAAAUUUUUUUUGUAUGUGAAUUUUGUAUGGUAAAGAUUAAUUUUUCAGGAUGUGUAGAAUUACCCAGUGGAACAAGAAUAUUACCUAUAAAAUUCUUCCAACUAAAUGUGGAUGUGGUCAAGAGAAAUACCUAUUUUAAAGCCUUUGAAGUAUGUAAACACAUAUCCUCAACAAACUCAUUCACAUUUGUUCCUGUGUGCAAAGUUAAUAAAUUGUACUAUGGGAGCUGAGAAUUCUCUUGAAAUUUGAUUUAUUGACACAUGUCAAUAUGUGUAUCUACUGAGGAUACCCCUGUGGUGGGUUUUAGUGUUGGCUAAAUGUUAGUGCACUUGCUGGAAUACACUUCCUUAUUUUUUUGUUAUGAGAUAGAAUUAGGAGGAAGGAAAAGUAGGCUUAAAAUUUUGAAAGGGUAUAAAGAAAAAAUUAUUAAUAGUAAUUAAAAGAAAGAAUAAUAAAAAUCAGAAUAAAACUUUUUGAACACUUCCCUUUACAACUUUUCUUUCCUACUUAUAACGCAUAGAAAAAAAUUAGUUUAGCACUUCUAGAAUAGUCUUUCUUUAAUUUACUUAGGAAGAGAAGUCUUUUUUGUUAAUUUAUGGAAACAGCUCUACUAGAAAACAGUUCUCUUAUGGCUUCUAAUUUUCACAAAUAGCAGCCACCUGGGAAAUUUACAAUUGUGAAGUCCCUCCCAUUUCCCACAGCUGUGUUUAUGUGCUGUAAUAGAUGAUAUGUAUAAAAUCAUGCUGAGGAUACAGUAAUCUUGCCUGAUAAAAAUCCUGGCAUACCAAAGGAGAGUUCCGGGAAAUUCCCUCUGAUGAGAUUACAGCGAUAUGCACCAAAAUCCUAGCCUGAAUAUUCGUCUCCAGAAAUGUUGAUUCCAGAGGAUUAUUCGUCUGACCAAACCCCAGCAAUAUGCAUUCGAUAUGCAUCAUCGAUAAAAUAAAUAUGUGUCUCCUAGAAUGUAUAUUGCAGGAGAUUUUCCUCUAACAAGGUGAAUUAUUUACCAGUUUUGAGAAACUCAGCAAGAGCAGCAGCAAGAAAGGAAAAACUACAUGAAUAUACUAAAAAGAUAAGAUCAACUCUAAGAAAGCAAUAAACCCUCCGCGGCAACCCUCAGAGCUUGGAAAUGUAUAAAAAAGACUGUGAGAGCUGUCUCUUCGUAAUGCACAGAGGAGAGGAGCCAGAGUGCCCUACCUGUCUCACCCAACACUGUUAGCCUGGUUCA
Molecule: long non-coding RNA, 4674 nt
Organism: Passer domesticus (house sparrow)
Lineage: Eukaryota; Metazoa; Chordata; Aves; Passeriformes; Passeridae
Exons: 3
Source: RefSeq, a predicted model, not a curated record